GCUACGGCUCUUUUAUCUGAAACGUGGUGCUGGGACACGGAAAGUUUCCAGCUUCAAGGCACUCUCGAACGCCCUUUUCCACACUCAAGCUCGCGCUUUUUUGCUUUUCUUUCUUUCGUUUUGUUUUCUCCGUUCUUUCUUCUUUUUUUCCUGAAACUUUUGUACAUCGAAAGCUUCACCUUUCGUGUUUAUAUUCUCUUCCUCCUCUUUGCUUCUCUGCCCACGCGUCGUGUUGUGUGUGUGUUCUUGGGCAUUGGCAAAGAAACUCGGAGAAUGAAGCUCCUUUCGAUCAUGGCGAUUCCGCCCUUCACCACCCUCCUGUUCCUCAUCGUCCUCUUGCAGGCGUCUUGCUUCGCGGAUUCGCAGUCAUUCAUUGGAGUCAACUAUGGCCAGGUCGCGGAUAACCUACCGCCGCCGUCGGCCACCGCGAAGCUACUUCAAUCAACGUCGAUCGAGAAGGUCCGGUUAUAUGGAUCGGACCCCGCCAUAAUCAGCGCUCUAGCAAACACGGGUAUUGGAAUUGUCAUCGGCGCGGCGAAUGGCGACAUUCCUGCUCUGGCAAAUGAUCCUAACUUCGCAAAGAAUUGGGUGAACACAAACGUGGUUCCCUUCUAUCCCUCGAGUAAAAUCAUCCUCAUCACCGUGGGCAAUGAGGUAAUGACCUCCGGAGACCAUAAUUUGAUGACUCAGCUGUUGCCGGCGAUGCAGAACAUGCAGAAUGCGCUUAAUGCCAUGUCCCUGGGAGGGAAAAUCAAGGUGUCCUCGGUGCAUUCCAUGGCUGUGCUUAAGUCCUCUGAGCCGCCGUCUUCUGGAAGUUUUGACCCCAGCUUCGGUGAUUUGAUGAAGGGAAUCUUGGGGUUUAACGAUGCAACCGGUUCACCAUUUGCUAUCAAUCCAUAUCCCUAUUUCGCGUACAGGAGUGAUCCUAGGCCUGAGACAUUGGCUUUCUGCUUGUUCCAACCCAAUGCUGGGAGGCUCGAUACCAACACCAACAUCAAGUACACCAAUAUGUUUGAUGCUCAGGUGGAUGCUGUUCGCUCUGCAUUAAACUCGUUUGGGUUUAAAAAUGUGGAGAUUGUAGUGGCUGAGACCGGUUGGCCAUACAAGGGAGACAGCAACGAGGUUGGCCCUAGCAUCGAGAACGCGAAGGCCUAUAACGGUAAUCUGAUAGCUCACCUCCGCUCAAUGGUUGGAACUCCCUUGAUGCCUGGAAAAUCAGUAGACACUUAUCUGUUUGCCCUGUACGAUGAGGAUUUGAAACCUGGACCCGCUUCUGAGCGUGCAUUUGGUCUUUUUAAGACGGAUCUUUCCAUGAACUAUGACGUCGGCCUCUCCAAGAGUAGCCAGGCUCCCGCAGCGCCGAAGACACCCGUCGCGCCAUCGCCAAAGACACCUGUUGCCCCAACGCCAAAGCCCGAUAAUGCAACUUGGUGCAUACCCAAGGAUGGGGUGUCGGAUGCCCAGUUGCAGGCGAACUUGGAUUACGCCUGUGGGCAAGGAAUUAAUUGCCAGCCGAUCCAACCUGGUGGGGCUUGCUACGUGCCUAACACCGUGGCAUCACAUGCUGCAUAUGCCAUGAAUCUUUUCUACCAGAACUCUGACCGCAGUCCUUUGAACUGCGACUUCUCGCAGACUGCCACAGUCUCAUCCAACAACCCAAGCCCAUCAUGGGUCCUAUCAAUGAUACGACCCGAACAGAUACUCUUUUCCUUUCUGUUCUCUGUAAUCCUCUGUACUUGAAGAUCCCAUGAAGAAGCAGCAGCAUAUUCCUCCUAGCUGUAUAUGACUAUGUUACGGUGGCUGUGUCUACCCAAGUGGAGCGAGCUGAAGGCGGAGGAUCGUUAUUCUUUCAAGUAAACCGAGAAGUUGUGAAGUGUGGCAAAUGCUUUAGGUACUUAUAUUGGUGUUGUACUUUACUGCCGUUGCAAAAUCGACAGAAAUUCAAUCCUACAUGGUGUAGGAUUGUAGCAAUUACUCAAACUUGAUGGCUUCCAUGUAUAGGAAUUCUAUUGCGCCAAUCAAGUGGUUUGUCAAAGUGAAUUUAUAUUUAA
This is an RNA transcript of Syzygium oleosum, 2051 nucleotides long. It is a transcript of the gene named glucan endo-1,3-beta-glucosidase 7-like, with no coding region annotated. The transcript is spliced from 6 exons. The record is from RefSeq and is a predicted model, not a curated record. NCBI's taxonomy places the organism in Eukaryota, Viridiplantae, Streptophyta, Magnoliopsida, Myrtales, Myrtaceae.